This is a long non-coding RNA of Chenopodium quinoa (quinoa), 865 nucleotides long. RefSeq lists it as uncharacterized. The transcript has 2 exons. The record is from RefSeq and is a predicted model, not a curated record. Lineage: Eukaryota; Viridiplantae; Streptophyta; Magnoliopsida; Caryophyllales; Amaranthaceae.
UAUAUGUAGGAGAAAGUUUCCACUUUAAAACUCAUAUAUUGAAGACUAUACAUAACAGAACAUGUAAAACUUGCAAAGUACUCCCUCAUCCGGUCAUUGUUGGUCAUUUAUCCGGUGGUAAUAUGCUACCCUAGAUAAACUCCCUAUUUUUUUUAAUCAGAGUAUCUAAUCACAACUGGACAAACCAAUGGGAGUACACCUUGGUAAACAAAAAGCCAUCAUUACAUUUCACAAUACCUGGAGCACGGGAAAGCUAUCAGCCUUUACAACAAAGCUUCCUAGAGAAGCUUUCUUCACUUUUAUAUUCUCUGGAAAAAAAAACAAAAAACAGAGCACCCCCCCCCCAAAAAAAAAAAACAUUCGAAGCUUUUCUAUUUGAAGAAGAUCAAGCAAUUUAAUGUCAUGGACUGUAGGACCAUUUGAGAGCCCAACCGCAAAAGCACGAAGGCUGUGCUCUUCAGAAGGUAUGGAAGCACUGGCUGACUCACACCCCCUUUGGAGCCAGCAUGAUCUCCUUGUCACCCACCUCUUUCCCAAGCUUGACUACGGAGGAAGACUUGCUGUGUAGCGCACCUGCGUCAAGUGGAAGCUGUCGUGGCGUCUCCGCAACUUUGCACUAGGGCUUCUGUCAACGAGUGGAUCCUCCACGACCUUGUCUACAACGAUGGUCGUGACUUUCACGCCUGGAUCAACAAGGACAUGACUGUCUAUUUUGAUAGUUUCCCCCUGUUGUUCAAGGAAGAGUAGGGUGUUUGUAGGUGGGGGGGGGGGAUAAGUGAGUAGCUAGUUGUUUUUGGAGUUCCACUACUCUUUUUGUAAAGUUUUUAAAGUUGUUUUAAUGAUAUGGGUUUUUAGAUUAUUGUCA